RNAcentral lists this ribosomal RNA (253 nucleotides) under uncultured bacterium. RNAcentral describes it as "partial 16S ribosomal RNA". It matches the Rfam family "Bacterial small subunit ribosomal RNA", at positions 524 to 776 of the family's 1533-position model. The record is from RNAcentral.
GACGUAGGGGGCGAGCGUUGUCCGGAGUUACUGGGCGUAAAGGGCCUGUAGGCGGUCGGGCAGGUUCCGGCGGACAGCCCGCGGCUUCACUGCGGGAGAAGCAGGAAGACGGUCCGACUUGAGGGCCACAGAGGGACAUGGAAUUCCCGGUGGAGCGGUGAAAUGCGUAGAGAUCGGGAAGAACACCGAAGGCGAAGGCAGUGUCCUGGGUGGUACCUGACGCUGAGAGGCGAAAGCUAGGGGAGCGAACGGG